RNAcentral lists this ribosomal RNA (253 nucleotides) under uncultured bacterium. Its description in RNAcentral is "partial 16S ribosomal RNA". It matches the Rfam family "Bacterial small subunit ribosomal RNA", at positions 524 to 776 of the family's 1533-position model. The record is from RNAcentral.
UACGAAGGGGGCUAGCGUUGCUCGGAAUCACUGGGCGUAAAGCGCACGUAGGCGGAUUGUUAAGUCAGGGGUGAAAUCCUGGAGCUCAACUCCAGAACUGCCUUUGAUACUGGCGAUCUUGAGUCCGGGAGAGGUGAGUGGAACUGCGAGUGUAGAGGUGAAAUUCGUAGAUAUUCGCAAGAACACCAGUGGCGAAGGCGGCUCUCUGGGCCUUUCCUGACGCUGAGACGCGAAAGCGUGGGGAGCGAACCGG